Molecule: ribosomal RNA, 527 nt
Filed under: uncultured bacterium
Lineage: Bacteria
Description: bacterial SSU rRNA
Rfam family: Bacterial small subunit ribosomal RNA
Source: RNAcentral
AGAGUUUGAUCCUGGCUCAGAUUGAACGCUGGCGGCAGGCCUAACACAUGCAAGUCGAGCGGUAACAGAAAUUAGCUUGCUAAUUUGCUGACGAGCGGCGGACGGGUGAGUAAUGCCUGGGAAUAUGCCUUAGUGUGGGGGAUAACUAUUGGAAACGAUAGCUAAUACCGCAUAACGUCUUCGGACCAAAGAGGGGGAUCUUCGGACCUCUCGCGCUAAGAUUAGCCCAGGUGAGAUUAGCUAGUUGGUGAGGUAAGAGCUCACCAAGGCGACGAUCUCUAGCUGGUCUGAGAGGAUGAUCAGCCACACUGGAACUGAGACACGGUCCAGACUCCUACGGGAGGCAGCAGUGGGGAAUAUUGCACAAUGGGCGAAAGCCUGAUGCAGCCAUGCCGCGUGUAUGAAGAAGGCCUUCGGGUUGUAAAGUACUUUCAGUAGGGAGGAAGGUGUUGUCGUUAAUAGCGGCAGCAUUUGACGUUACCUACAGAAGAGGCACCGGCUAACUCCGUGCCAGCAGCCGCGGUAAU